AGACAUACCUUGGUCAAAUUAACUUCAUAUCAAUAAAGCGGACGGACGGAAAAAAUAUGCUGAAUAAGCAAUUAAAUUAAAGAUGCUGCAACCACACCAAACUCGCAUCGGCCGCUUCGCUUGAGAGCACAGACCAUACCAGACGUGGACCAGCGACAUAAUGCGCCCAGGGCAGAUGAACUGGUAAGUGUCAAAUAAAUAAUACGCCACGGCGUAUUCUUUAUUACUCCUCUCAGCCACCUACUUGCACUCACCACGGCAUCCCUCGCUCCAUGUCCAAGAUGCCAUAGUAAUAGAAAGACGGGUCACCCAUUGCGAGGUUGAUAUGAGGCUCUAUCGUGGUUGAGUGAUAUCCUGGAGAGAAAUGGCACUACCCCGUUCUAACCCCUGUGCACAUUACACCACUGGAACACUCCUGGCGGCCCCGCACUCGCGACUGCGUAAGACCACGAGUAUCGUCGCUCUCAGUCCCCGACGGAUAAUUCAGGUAAGUCGAACGGUAAGUAUAAAGUCCCAAACCUCUAGGUAUAUAUAAUCAUCCUACACACACACAUUCUUCACCGCUUGCCGACGAUGGGAUAUUAAUUGCAAGACGGCUCUUAUGGAAGCAAUUUGAAACAGCUGCAAAUAAACGGCUUAGCCUACAUAGCAGCUCAAGGCAACAAAAAAAAACUUCAAGACUGGAUCCAAAAAUUUUGUGCCUCCUAAAACUUAAGCUAAGUAUCCAUUACUAUAAAUUCAAAAGAUAACCCAAAUCCUAAUUCAUUUUUCUCUUAUCCUAUAGCUUCCUACACUACUGGCUAAUACCUAUGGACCUUGGGCCCCUGUGAUGGAAUUCAACUUAUAGCUAAAACGAAAAAAAAACACGCACAUAAAUCCUACAGUUUAAACUGAUAUGCUAUGCCUAAAUACAAGGAAAGGAAUGUGAAUGGCGUAAUUUACAAACAGGUGUAUACAAGGUUACGUUCCGCUAACAUUAAUAAAACAAAAGGUAAUAAUGGGAUUGAAUUUGCCCCCUUAACGAGAAACCAAAGGUCACUGAAGGACAUCUAUAACGUUACCAUGCAGGCCUUUCUUGGUUUGGCAUUUGCUUAAACAACAAGAAGGAAAACGGACGGCAAGAAACGUCGCAAACGACCAUCGGGACUUGGAUCCCGUUAAGCCGUGACUUACGCCUCCUUCAUGGAUUAGGAAAAUACUCUGCUAUAAUUGUAUCCAUGUAAGUUUCAUGAAUUCCUCCAUGAGACUCACGGUUUCAGCUUCCCUUAACCCAUCACCGGGGGCUUACAUGGGCGGAAAAUAUGAAACAAACAUGGAACGAUUGAAACUAUAAUGACGUGGUAAGCCUGAUCUCUCAGGCCCCAUGUUGCGGGCGCCAUUUUCUUGUCACGUACCCCCAUAGGAGGUCGCUCCACCUUUUCUCUGGAGUGGCAAUUGAUGCUGGCGGGCGCUGGCUGCUGGCGGUUGAGCUCCGGCUGUGGCUCAGUGGAUGGGGCGCGGUUCUUUGCCAACACCUAUUGCCAAAAAGGAGGGACAAAAAAAACUAAAAUCAACCAGCUUGUGGAUGGACAAAUACAGCGGGUUCCUGGUUCUACUGGCGACUGUUCCGGAUAAAAUCCAAUGGAGUCCCCGGGUAUUGUGGUCCUGGUGGCAGCCUCUGCGGCCAAUAGGGUCCCUUUUAGGUUCUCGUUUGUCCGUCCGUCCGUCUAGUCUUUGGGGUUUUCUGAUGUGCUGCUUUCUCAGCACCGUAAGGUCAACAUUGGCUAAUGGGCAAGGAAAUAUCCUCUACUAUCCACUACCUAACCUAACUAUGAGCUCAUGCUUAGGUUACUCUAUAGAACCCAACCAAAGGAAAAAACUUUUUUUUAACAAAAAUAAAUCCGUCGAGAGUCAACCGUCUGUAUGCCUGUCUGUUUAUGGUCAGAGAAACUUUUUGGACUACCUUAUGGACACUGGGGUAUGCGACAGCGUCUAGGUCCCUCGGUGGAGUAGCGACAGGAGUUGUGGAUAUGCCAAUUGCAGCAGCUGUAGUCUUUUAUACGUGUGGCAGUGGAGGUGGAGGAGUCUUGACUUUCGCUUUUAUUUUUAGACUUAAGUUUUUAGCUUUAAAUUUUACAUUAUAUGAUCUGAUUUCUUUUCUAUUUCUUUUCAGUGUUUUUUACAGCUUUACUUUCUUUAAGCUUUAAGCUUUCCGAUUUCUUUUAUUCUUUUAUUUUUCAAGUUAUUUUAAAUCAUUGUAAAAUUUUCAUAAAUAUAUAUAUAUAUAUACACAUAUAUACGGUUUUUAGAAUUUUGCCUUAUAUUUGUAACUUUUUCUAUAGCUUUAAGAUGUUCACUAAAACUUUACAUUUGUUUUAAAUUAUUCCUUUAGUUUUCACCACUUUGUUUAUUCUGUGACACCGCUCAAUAAACACAUUAAAUUUUCUUUUGCUAAUUCACUUGUGUUUAAUUCUUUUUUAUAUUUACUGAUGGCUCCACCUCCGUCUGCUGCCA
This is a long non-coding RNA of Stomoxys calcitrans (stable fly), 2493 nucleotides long. RefSeq lists it as uncharacterized. The transcript has 8 exons. NCBI's taxonomy places the organism in Eukaryota, Metazoa, Arthropoda, Insecta, Diptera, Muscidae. The record is from RefSeq and is a predicted model, not a curated record.